CUUUUUCCACUGACUAUCUCUAAAGCAACGACUCCAAAGCUGUAAACAUCUGCCUUGUCUGUCAAGUAUCCUCUCAUUGCAUACUCGGGUGCCAUAUAACCGCUGAAGACAAACAAAAAACCAAAGCACAAAUAUUAAUGGUUCUCUGUGUUGAUACCA
Long non-coding RNA from Cucurbita moschata (crookneck pumpkin), 159 nucleotides. RefSeq lists it as uncharacterized. The record is from RefSeq and is a predicted model, not a curated record. NCBI's taxonomy places the organism in Eukaryota, Viridiplantae, Streptophyta, Magnoliopsida, Cucurbitales, Cucurbitaceae. The transcript has 3 exons.